AGAGGGGACCAGUUAGGGAUCUGCUGCCAGAGUCCAGGCAAGGGAUGAUCGAGGCUUAAACCAAGGGGUGGCAGCAAAAGAGAAAAGUGUAGAGACCCUGACACCAGGAGACAUAAUCUACAGGAAGCAGUGGUUUAUUUCUACAGGAGGGGAAGGAGAGAGGAGGAGGAGAUUCUGGUUUGAGCAAAUGGGAUGAGUGGUGGGGUCAUAAACUGAGGAGCAGGAUUAGGGGACACGGUGAGGAGGCUCAGGCCAGGCAUGUUGCUUGUGAGGUGGCUGGGAGACAUCUGAGGGGCACAACUGCAUACAACCUCAUGGGUGCAGACUGUGCAGUUAAAGAUGGCAGUCCUCUCUCCCGGCCUCAGGCUGCUCUCUGCCAGCCACAUGGGCUUCUCCCCAGGAUGCCGCGGCGCCUCCUUGAAGACAGCCACCGCUCCCUGCACAGCGACACACGGGGGCGGCACCACCUCCACCUCCACCGCAGACUCACUCCAGAGCUCCCGUGCCAUCACCAGCCGGUACCUGAACUUCCGGGCCAGGUCGAUGGGGCCCACUGUUGUCGAUCCCCGCCCGGUUGGGGCGGGCUGCCUGUCCGCGAGGUAAGUGACGACAGAGCCCCGGAAUCACACAGCCGGGUUGAACACACAGUAACCACGCCGGAGACGCAGGCUCGUGGCGCAGGUCUGGUUUACUGGGGAAGUGAUACAGCUUAUAUAGGAGGGGUAAGGGCUUAGGAUGACGUGGCAAUUACAGAGAGGCUAGGGGACUGGGGUAAUUUGAAGCGGCUGUUGAUUGGAGGAGGCAGGUUUGAAGCUGGCGCCCGUGGGUUUUUCUGGCGGGAAGGUGGUGAGGAAGGAGGGCGGUGCUGUUUGCCAUAGCCAUUAGCAUGCUCAGCGGCCAUUUUGGCUAGAUGUUACUUGCUGGCAAGCUCACCAACACCCGCGGCGGUAAUGACUGAGCCGCGCCCAGGAGCCGCAGCACCGCGGUGACCGAGGCUGCGGGGCCCACCGGGGUGCAGUGACCUCCACCCACUGGCUCUGAGCGAGCGCUGUCCUCUGGCUGCGCCUCGUCUCCAGCGGCCGGCCCUGCCGAGCGCUCGCCCCAGGAAGGCUGCUGCAGAGGGUGACGUCCACCUCAACGCCGGGCCUGUCCCCGGGGAACGGGCACAGCAGCUGUGGCGUAAAAAGCCCCACCCGCAAGGUGCCUCCCGCGGCCUGGGAUG
RNAcentral lists this long non-coding RNA (1222 nucleotides) under Dasypus novemcinctus (nine-banded armadillo). RNAcentral's name for it is "lncRNA (ENSDNOG00000052444.1)". Lineage: Eukaryota; Metazoa; Chordata; Mammalia; Cingulata; Dasypodidae. The record is from RNAcentral.